AACGAACGCUGGCGGCAUGCCUAACACAUGCAAGUCGAACGAGACCUCCGGGUCUAGUGGCGCACGGGUGCGUAACGCGUGGGAACCUGCCCUUAGGUUCGGAAUAACUCCCCGAGAGGGGUGCUAAUACCGGAUAAUGUCUUCGGACCAAAGAUUUAUCGCCUUUGGAUGGGCCCGCGUUGGAUUAGCUGGUUGGGAGGGUAAAAGCCUACCAAGGCGAGGAUCCAUGGCUGGUCUGAGAGGAUGACCCUCCACGCUGGGACUGAGGCCCGGCCCAGACUCCUACGGGGGGCAGCAGUGGGGAAUAUUGGACGAUGGGCGAAAGCCUGAUCCAGCAAUGCCGCGUGAGUGAUGAAGGCCUUAGGGUUGUAAAGCUCUUUUACCCGGGAUGAUAAUGACAGUACCGGGAGAAUAAGCUCCGGCUAACUCCGUG
This 433-nucleotide ribosomal RNA is filed under the name uncultured bacterium. RNAcentral's name for it is "partial 16S ribosomal RNA". It matches the Rfam family "Bacterial small subunit ribosomal RNA", at positions 29 to 507 of the family's 1533-position model. The record is from RNAcentral.